AUUUACGGCGGGCCAUUGAAACAUUCUGAAGAAGAAGUAGUAAGUAUUUGACCGCACCAAAAUUUCAUCUCCUUGGGCCUUGGCAAAGGGAAAAAUGAAAUGAAGAGCUUUAAUUUACCAUAAAUGUCCCUGCCCCUCAAGUCUCAACCUCCGCCUCUUCUUUGAGCAUUUACUGAUGUAGAUGACCUCCCAACGGCUUUCAGAAAUUCUCCUUUAUUUUCUCCACUAAUUUUCCUUCUAGUCAAACUGCGCUGUAAGGACACCAACCACUCUCAUGCUCUUUCGAUCAAGCUUUCAUCGUCAUCAAGUUUUAUUUAUUUAUUUAUUUGUUUAUUUUCUUUUCGUUCUGUUACUGCUGUACCGUACAUCCGCCUUGGCCGUACAGCAGUCCUUUUCUGGUUUUUGGUUUUUGGUUUUUCAUCCUUUCUUCAAUACAUCAAUGUUUAUUAAUCAUUUUGGCGGAUAUUUUUAACAUCGUUGUUCAUGUAUAAAUGUAAUUAGCUGUAGGCAUAGCUUCCGGUAACUAAUUACAUGAUAUAAAUUUUUGUGUCUGCUAUUGUUUUUUCUCCUUUCUUUCUUGCGGCAUGCUUAGAUUGUUUUAUUUCAGAUUGGAUUUACAUUUUUGAGUUCCCUAUUGCUAUGCUUUUCUGUAGUUGUGAAAUUAGUUAAGGCCAAGUAGUUGGUGCAUGAUAAAAUAAUGAAGGAAAAAAAAGAGAGAACAAAAACUCUGUUAAUUAUAAUUUAAUAAUAUGAAUUACAUCGGUUUUUAAUAGAAGCGAACAUAAGGCUCGGCUCGUAGAAUUAAGGAGCAGAAACAAUAAUAUAAAGAAAAAAAAAGGAAAAAAACUAAAAAAGGAAAUAUCCUAAAAUUUGAAUAAUUCUAAUUUCCUGAUUCUAUGGGAUCGGAUUCCUAACUUUCCUACAAAUAUCCUGUGAUUUUCCUGACUGCCAAAGUUGUAAAGUUCAUCAGUAUUCCUCAGUUAUAGAACUCAGAAAACGUGGAAAUGCUGGCGGAUUUUUGGGUAUCAAAAAAGAAAAAGGAUGUGAAAUUUAGUUUCUCUUCUGGCAGGUACCUUCAAAUUUAUUAGUAAAUGUAUUGAUGGCAAAGGGUUCUCAGGGACAAAACGUUACUUCGUAGCCAACUUGCACUUAACACGAAAGAGAGGAAGCUGAGGCGCUCUCUCUCAGAAUUUCAACCGUAUUUAUUAAUUUUUUUUUCUCUUUUAUUUCCGUUUAGCCAAACUUCAGUAUUUCAUUUGAAAUUGCAGAGCAUUUACGGCGGGCCAUUGAAACAUUCUGAAGAAGAAGUAGUAAGUAUUUGACCGCACCAAAAUUUCAUCUCCUUGGGCCUUGGCAAAGGGAAAAAUGAAAUGAAGAGCUUUAAUUUACCAUAAAUGUCCCUGCCCCUCAAGUCUCAACCUCCGCCUCUUCUUUGAGCAUUUACUGAUGUAGAUGACCUCCCAACGGCUUUCAGAAAUUCUCCUUUAUUUUCUCCACUAAUUUUCCUUCUAGUCAAACUGCGCUGUAAGGACACCAACCACUCUCAUGCUCUUUCGAUCAAGCUUUCAUCGUCAUCAAGUUUUAUUUAUUUAUUUAUUUGUUUAUUUUCUUUUCGUUCUGUUAACCAAUCUCUUGUUUUAUUCGCAGA
This 1648-nucleotide long non-coding RNA is filed under the name Citrus sinensis (sweet orange). RNAcentral's name for it is "long non-coding RNA (CSIN_LNC000429)". Lineage: Eukaryota; Viridiplantae; Streptophyta; Magnoliopsida; Sapindales; Rutaceae. The record is from RNAcentral.